UCGUAGAGAAGGCAAACCGCUACUCCACACGAUCCCCUCCUAAAUUCGUUCUGCCACGCCCACAACCCAGUCUAAACUGCUCCUUCAGGUUCGUCCGCUAGCACACCCCUCCAAGGCUCCCACCAACACGAGGGCCGAGGGUUGCGACGGGGCGCGGGAGACCACGGGGAGCAGGGCCUUUGGCUCUGGGGGAAGGAUACCACAUGAAGCGAGAAUUGAUUGUGGUGCUGGCGGUCUUCCGAUUAUGGCAUUCCCUUGCCCCGACGCCACAUCCCUCGAGUGCCGCCGCAGGUCGCUCGAGUGCCGCCGCAGGUCACUCCGCCCGGCGACCAAAAAUCAGAUGUCAUCCUCCGCAAACUCACGCCAGAGAAGGGACAACCUGGAUGCGGUCACUGCGUCCUCGCUCCUCACGGCGGUCACUCCACCGAUCUGCUCGUCAUGGAAUACGCGACGUCAGUUUGGGAGCCGCCGCUGCCUUCUCAGGUCCACGCCAAGCAUGAUUCAAGACUAGCUGCUGCCGCCUCUCUCAAAUCCGGGGACUGGACUAGCGGCCUCCGCCUCUCUGAUGGCAAAACUGUUGUUGACGCCACUGAUGCCAAUCACCAAUCAUCUUGCUUUCCCCCACACGGAAGCAUUACUCUAUUCCGGCGUGGUGAGCAGGUGGAUGCGGUAUGUGUUUCUGGGAUAACUGUAAGGUACACGGCGGAGUUCUGCAUCCGCAACCCGCUGCUCGAACACGCUUCCAUCUGCUGGUUUAUGAGGAUCAUUUCCUAGAAGAUUGACACCCAAAUUUUUGGCCUUUGGUUGUCUGAACGUCUACCUUUUUUUGCUUGUGAAAAUAGUCCAGCUGAGUAGAAUUCAGGAGGUCAAUUUUCAAACCUGUGAACAAAUCGACAUCGCUGCUCAAGAGAUCCUUGAUUUGAAAAAUUGUUUCUUAUAUUGAUUGGUUCCCCAGAAAAAGACUGAAUCGUACUUGAAGAAAAGCUAAAGCGUCUUCAUGUACUUUAGCCCUUGUUCAAAGGGAGGCUCAGAACCUGAAGUAUUCAACACAGAAACAAGUUCUUAAUGAGCCUUUCUCCCUCGCUGGUAUUCUGUUGUGUCUCCUUGAAGCUUACUUUUGCCUUGCAUUGAAUGGAUUUUGCAUUGAAAAAAUAUUGGGGCAAAAGAAAAUGGCUUAACUUUGAAAGUGUUGCUUUCUACCAAAGUACGGAGCAUGAAAAGUAUAGGGCCUGUAUUAGGUGCUACAUAUAUGGAUAUUCAAACAUAUAAAAUUGAAUUAUUACCAUGCCAAGUAAUGUCUGAUGUGUUGUUCUGGAGUUGGAGUACCUUGCUGGAGGUGCAACGUAAUUCUACUUUGACAUAUCCACAUAUAGAUUAGAGGAGAACAAUAGCAAGAAAUGGGACUUUAUUGCCCACAACGUAAAAUUCACAAAGGAAAAGGAAAAAAAAUCUAUGUCUUGACUAAGAUACCAAGGAAACAAGUAAUGAGUUGUAUAUUGUUUACGGCAUAGUAGUUGUCAUCCACUGUACCAAUAUGACUUCUGGCCAUGUGGCAUGCUGAUCGUUUUGAAUAAUGCACAUUAGGUAUGUUUUUUUGUUGCACUUGUUCUAUGCUGUUGAUUAUAUCUUUUCCCAUACAUCUUAAGUUAUGUUUCAUUUCUGAAGCAUAUAGUUGCAGCAUCUUUUAACAACAGUGGUUUAUGAACUCAGCUAAGAGAUAUUUAUGUCUUUACUGAUGCAGAUUAGCUUUGAUCACUUGGUUGUAAAAUCAUGUUGCCAAAUGCUAAUAAUAUCAUAUCUUAACUUGGUAUUGUGCACUUAGCUAGAUACUUGGUUAUGUGCAAUUUAUUGCAACAUGAGACUUAAUUAUGAUAAGCUUUAGAUCCUUGUAGCUCCUUUGGAUCUGUCAAUUUAGUUUGUCUUGAAGCUGGACUACAAUGAAGUUUUAAUUGGCACAGACUUUUAUCAUUACAUGAGAAUAAUUUUUCAUUGUGAAUGGUUGAACAACAACCAGGCUUCCAGUACUUUUCUCUAUUUCAUUGGCCUACUCAUGUCUAUGUCUUUAUUUUGUUUAGCAUGUUGUAUGAGCUUAAUAAGUCCAUGAUACAUAUAUUGUGGAUUACAGAAUUUUGAUCCCGCCAGCCUUGUGCACAACUCUAUUAUCUGGUGAGUUUAUGGUCUCAGUAUGAUAUUUAUAUCGUUUGUUUUCUAAUUUUGUCACUCAAGUUCCUAUUUCUGAACAAGAAUUGAGUGGGUUCAAACUUCAAAAUUAGUGGCUAGAGGAGUGAAUUUUUCAUAUGUUCAUUAGCUUUUAAAGCUCUCUUACUGCACUUAAGUGAAAAGUUCGUGCAGGUUGAGGAACAAAAGUGAAUAGUUAUUCCCUUCAUGAUAUAUAGGGCAUAGGUAAUCAGUCAGUUCUUGUACUUUUGAAUACUGAAAGGGCAAAGGGAUAUCGUAUUGUAAUUAAGUAGUACAAACAUUAUGAGAGUUUUAUGCUCUAUAUUAUUUGGUGUUUAAAUGUUACAGAUGGUACCAAAUCCUUCUCGGUUAAGAUAUCUUUUUACAUGAUCUGAUAUAAUUUAUUCUAGACUUGACCCUACAAAAUUAAAAUUUGAAUUUCACAUUAGAUCUUAUUUUUCAGGACCACUUCAUAGAAGAUCCAUACCCAAAUUGUUGACUUUUGGUCUACACCUACCCUUUUUUGCUCGUGAAAAGGUAUGUAUAGGUGAACUCUUCAAUUUGGCAUGCAUCAACAUUUUCUGAAAAUAGCAUAAGUCUAUGAGGACAUCACGAUGUAUGGCAUGCCUCACAUCUUCGUGAGUCGUGAAGAUAGCCUACAACCCAAACUGGUAGGAUAGAAAGGGCGUGAUGCUUCGAAGCCGCGGGAGCAACCAGAUCCCGUGGCCCGAGUAUUCAGGUCCAAGAUAGGACGAUGAAAGAGAUGCUUAUCAAGAAACAUAUUUCAGGCGUUCUGAAGGCGGGCAUCUACGUGGUAGGGUUCUGGAAGAGGGGUCUUUCACAUGCUAAUUUCAUGUUGAUGUAGCUAGACCACGUUUGAGCAACUUUCUUCAUGAUCAUUGUAUUUCAAAAUGUAAUACUUGCCUGACAGAUUUGAGACAUGUAUAUAUAUGGGCAUUUGAAUUAAUAUUUGUCUAUCUAUUUUUAUA
Molecule: non-coding RNA, 3167 nt
Organism: Lolium perenne
Lineage: Eukaryota; Viridiplantae; Streptophyta; Magnoliopsida; Poales; Poaceae
Source: RefSeq, a predicted model, not a curated record